Molecule: ribosomal RNA, 490 nt
Filed under: uncultured bacterium
Lineage: Bacteria
Description: partial 16S ribosomal RNA
Rfam family: Bacterial small subunit ribosomal RNA
Source: RNAcentral
AUUGAACGCUGGCGGCAGGCCUAACACAUGCAAGUCGAACGGUAACAGGAAGAAGCUUGCUUCUUUGCUGACGAGUGGCGGACGGGUGAGUAAUGUCUGGGAAACUGCCUGAUGGAGGGGGAUAACUACUGGAAACGGUAGCUAAUACCGCAUAACGUCGCAAGACCAAAAAGGGGGACCUUCGGGCCUCUUGCCAUCGGAUGUGCCCAGAUGGGAUUAGCUAGUAGGUGGGGUAACGGCUCACCUAGGCUACGAUCCCUAGCUGGUCUGAGAGGAUGACCAGCCACACUGGAACUGAGACACGGUCCAGACUCCUACGGGAGGCAGCAGUGGGGAAUAUUGCACAAUGGGCGCAAGCCUGAUGCAGCCAUGCCGCGUGUAUGAAGAAGGCCUUCGGGUUGUAAAGUACUUUCAGCGGGGAGGAAGGGAGUAAAGUUAAUACCUUUGCUCAUUGACGUUACCCGCAGAAGAAGCACCGGCUAACUCCGUG